GAGGGAGCGAUUUGAGGCCUCGUUCCAGGACAUGGAGUUGCUCAACGAGAAUGAGAGCUUGUCCUGCCAGCCAGAGCGCUAGACCUACUUGGCCUGCAGAGUACGCAAGGCCAAGAAGAACCGGCCAUCAUCAAGGUCAGGGGGAGACUGAGAUCUCAAAAUUAUCAAGAAGCUGAAGCUCCCCAACUCCCGCUUCCUGGCGCCGAAUCCACCAUUCAUCACAGGGACAGACAAACAGAGGACACCUGCAGCUCCCCUAACUCAGCUAAACGCAGGCUGAUGGGAGGACGCCGAACUGCAAAGCCGCAGCUCCCCUCCCCCACCUAAAA
Molecule: long non-coding RNA, 329 nt
Organism: Diceros bicornis minor
Lineage: Eukaryota; Metazoa; Chordata; Mammalia; Perissodactyla; Rhinocerotidae
Exons: 3
Source: RefSeq, a predicted model, not a curated record